GGAGGGAAUCUUGCGCAAUGGGCGAAAGCCUGACGCAGCGACGCCGCGUGGGGGAUGAAUGCCUUAGGGUUGUAAACCCCUUUCACGAGGGAAGAAACUGACGGUACCUCGAGAAGAAGCCCCGGCCAACUACGUGCCAGCAGCCGCGGUAAUACGCAGGCACCAAGCGUUAUCCGGAUUUAUUGGGCGUAAAGAGCUCGUAGGCGGUUCGGUAAGUCGGGUGUGAAAAUCCAAGGCUCAACCUUGGGACGCCACCCGAUACUGCUGUGACUCGAGUGCAGUAGGGGAGCAGGGAAUUCCUGGUGUAGCGGUGAAAUGCGCAGAUAUCAGGAGGAACACCAGUGGCGAAGGCGCUGCUCUGGGCUGUAACUGACGCUGAGGAGCGAAAGCGUGGGUAGCAAACAGGAUUAGAAACCCUGGUAGUCC
This 426-nucleotide ribosomal RNA is filed under the name uncultured Ilumatobacter sp. RNAcentral's name for it is "bacterial SSU rRNA". It matches the Rfam family "Bacterial small subunit ribosomal RNA", at positions 354 to 796 of the family's 1533-position model. The record is from RNAcentral. Lineage: Bacteria; Bacillati; Actinomycetota; Acidimicrobiia; Acidimicrobiales; Ilumatobacteraceae.